This is a non-coding RNA of Struthio camelus australis, 818 nucleotides long. NCBI's taxonomy places the organism in Eukaryota, Metazoa, Chordata, Aves, Struthioniformes, Struthionidae. The record is from RefSeq and is a predicted model, not a curated record.
CAAGGGAGAGGGGAAGCCGCCUGCAAGGAGAGGGGAUCUCUGCAAUCAGACCCAGUUGGACCCUGUCAUUAGAGGAAAAGCUCUGGGCAGUGACAACAGCGUGCCUGGCCUGCACCCCCCGCAUGGGAACAGUCAGGCAUGGCGUGGGCAUUGCCGAAGUCUCUGCGGUGUCAGGAUGGGAGAGAAGAUAAAGUCGAAACAGGGAAGCAGUUGCAGUCCAGGUGCCAAGCGGACGUUGCACAACCAGCCAUGGGAAGAAAGGCUCAAGGCUGUGACUUUGCUGGCUUCUGCACCCCAAGCAAGAAGAGGUCUGGGAACCGGAUUGGGCUCCAAAUGAUGAAAGUCCAGAGGACUUCAGAGAAAUGUGGCGUUCUCCACUCUGCCCCUCUGCAGACCCGUCUGGAGAUGUGACGCGGCCAGGGCUGCCGUGAGUGUGGGAGGAGAGUGAUUUGGGGUGGCCCUUUGGACCGCUCAGCUGCAAGCUCAGGGCACGACUGGCUGAGGCCAAGGCGUUUCGCCCAAGACAAACAGCCAGGUGCUGCGAGUUGAUCUUUUUAUCUUGUCCUCCCUUGAGAGCAGGCUGGUGUCACCGGAUUUCUUGCCCUUCCCCAUGAGCGAUCCCACUUCCUCUCGCCCACGCAGUCCGCAGAGAAACACGAAGAGGAAAAGAAGCGAGGAAAUGCCCCGCUUUGGGGCCAAGGCAACACCACCACCAAGGCCAAUUCUCUCCCAAACCUUAGAAAGCCUCAGCGAUGGCGAGGGCCCCGCUGCCGGCGGCUGCAGCUGGAGCCAGCAGGUGCCCAGCCAGCUGUGGGAAG